Molecule: ribosomal RNA, 253 nt
Filed under: uncultured bacterium
Lineage: Bacteria
Description: partial 16S ribosomal RNA
Rfam family: Bacterial small subunit ribosomal RNA
Source: RNAcentral
UACAGAGGUGGCAAGCGUUGAUCGGAAUCACUGGGCUUAAAGGGCGUGUAGGCGGUUCGGUAAGUGUCCUGUGAAAUCUCUCGGCUCAACCGGGAAAUCGCAGGACAAACUGCCAAACUUGAGGUCGGUAGGGGUGUCUGGAACUCUGGGUGUAGCGGUGAAAUGCGUAGAUAUCCAGAGGAACGCCCGCGGCGAAAGCGGGACACUGGGCCGAUUCUGACGCUGAGGCGCGAAAGCAUGGGGAGCAAACAGG